ACCUCCGGUCUUCUCUAUAUAUUGCUAAUGAGAACCUUCUGGAUUUCCUGGAUUUAAGAGACCACCUGCUAUGAAGGAAAUGAUAUACUGCUCCUUAUCCCAGAAAGCCCAGCCUGACCACACCCUUGUUUGUGAUUGAUUGACUGUCUCAUUGAAGCAAGUUGCUCAUCAAACCUCUCUCAUCUGACACCUGUGACUACCACCGAGCCAUGGGAAAUGCAGAGGAUUUCAAAGCACCGUUGACAAGAUGCAUUCACAAAGACUUGCUAAAGUGUUUCAGGGACAUGGAGAGCAAUUGUCUGCAGACUGUAAUUAUCCUCUCGCAUGAUAGUUUGGUCUUGCCUGGUCUCAGCUGUUUGGUGCUUGUGCUCAAACCUACACACUUUCACCUCUCUCUCUGGAUAAAAGGCCACGAGGAUGGAGGGAACUGAGGAACUGGGACAGAGGAGGGGAGGUUGCAGCCCACCUGUCUGAAAGAUUGAGUGUCUUUGCUCAUUUUCCACCUACAAGUGCUCUCACAGUUUAAACUGCUUUGCUGCAUUACAUACUGUGUGUAGUGCAUUACAGCAGUGUA
This is a long non-coding RNA of Sinocyclocheilus grahami, 574 nucleotides long. RefSeq lists it as uncharacterized. NCBI's taxonomy places the organism in Eukaryota, Metazoa, Chordata, Actinopteri, Cypriniformes, Cyprinidae. The transcript has 3 exons. The record is from RefSeq and is a predicted model, not a curated record.